CACCUUCGCAGUAAGGCGGACUGUUUAACCUGCCAGUGCCCUGCCCAUUAUUUGCCUCCGUUGGCCUGGCAGUUUCACGGCCCAUUAAGAAAUUAGCUCAUUGUUUCUGGGCUUCAUCUCUUUAGCUGUCCGCCUAAAAAAAACGCAGUUUUUCGGUAUGUUGUGGACAUGGACUUCUCCCAAAGAAGGACUGAACUUUUCUUGAGAAGACACCGGCAACACGACGUCUACUUUUUCAGUCUGUUUUGGGCAUGAACUUCUGCCAAAUAAGGAUGCAACUUCUGAGAGGGCACUGGCAUCGCCACUUCACCAAGCUGCUCCUACAAUACUCGGUCAUGCAUGAGGAGAGCUUGAGAGUGCUGGGUUGGAAGGAUCCCAGAGAAGAGCGAGAAUGUCCCCUCCACCCAGUAGAUGGAAGCAAAGCUACACGGACUAAUAGAGAAUAAAAAAGUUGGGUGUGAGUUUCCCCAGAUGGUGAGUGGCAGAGCAGGAGCGCUUCUGCCCUUCUUUCCCCAAGUAGGCAGACGGGUCUUUUCAACUCUCUUCCAUCAAGAUUCCAUAAAGGCAGAAAGAGACCCAGUGCUCCUUACAGCGGGGGCUUUCGCGAGAGCUUCAUUCCAAAAUGACAGAUACUGUCGUUUCAGAUCCAAGCGACCUGUACCCUGACAGGGAGAGCAAGAGAGGAGAGAAAAAUAGCAUUGGAGAGAUGAAAAUGAGACUGAGGGCGCUGGCAAAGAGAAACUCCAGAGCUGAAUAGCAAAUGCAGUUUACAAGAGGCUGUGAGGUCUGGAAAACACAAACGAAAUAAAAGCGGAUGGUUGACUCAGGGAUUCUGUAUAUCUCUCUCUCUCUGCUGGCCCUUUAUCCAACUUUGAACCUGCAGUUUUAAAGCCUUGGGUGUAUGUAACACUGGCUCUCUGCCGUUCUCUCGCCUGCUCCAUCUCCCUCUCUAAUUAAUGCUCAGCUAUGUGAAACCAGGAUUAGAUCAGAACAGGGAAAUCAAUGGCUGAUAGCACAGGGCAAAGAAGAAGAGGAGGGCAGUAAGCAAGCCGUCACAUUUUAAUCAGGGUGGGUGAGGAUCGGAAGUAAUUGCAGUGGUUCCCCUUUGAGGUUGAUUGAGGGUCUGUCUCAAGUCGCAUGCUUGCACACAUGUGCUUGCAGCAUAUGUGUCUACAUGUGUAAGCCAGUGUCAAGGGUAGCUUAUAAAGGAAGAGUGUGAUAUCUAUGGGAGAGGUUGGACUCUGAAGUUCCCACAGAAGGACCAACCGAUCCUUAGAAGUCUUGGAGACAUGCACGGCUAUGCAAGAUUGCAACCUCAGCAGCAGCAUUAGUCGUGGGAAUAUGAGCUACCCAGCAGCGUGUUUUUCACAAACUAGCCUCAAGUGGGAACACAUCACACCCUUUCACCAGGGUGCUGAAUGCUGCAAAUAAGUGUGUAAAAAGAGAAUC
Lates calcarifer (barramundi perch) is the source of this 1449-nucleotide long non-coding RNA. RefSeq lists it as uncharacterized. The transcript is spliced from 3 exons. The record is from RefSeq and is a predicted model, not a curated record. Lineage: Eukaryota; Metazoa; Chordata; Actinopteri; Centropomidae.